GGUCUUCCUUUCCCGGGGGUCAGGCUGCAGCGCCAGAGCACGAGCUCGCCCAUAACUGGGGCCGCCUGUACCUCGCAGGCCGCCCUUUUAACCGCGAGCGACACAG
Small nucleolar RNA from Lepus europaeus (European hare), 106 nucleotides. NCBI's taxonomy places the organism in Eukaryota, Metazoa, Chordata, Mammalia, Lagomorpha, Leporidae. The record is from RefSeq and is a predicted model, not a curated record.